This 749-nucleotide ribosomal RNA is filed under the name Podila minutissima. RNAcentral's name for it is "eukaryotic LSU rRNA". It matches the Rfam family "Eukaryotic large subunit ribosomal RNA", at positions 66 to 669 of the family's 3401-position model. Lineage: Eukaryota; Fungi; Mortierellomycota; Mortierellomycetes; Mortierellales; Mortierellaceae. The record is from RNAcentral.
UAACAAGGAUUCCCCUAGUAACGGCGAGUGAAGCGGGAUGAGCUCAAAUUUGAAAUCUGGCUGGUUUACUAGUCCGAGUUGUAAUUUAAAGAAGCGUUUUCGGUGGCAGCCUGGGUAUAAAUCCUUUGGAAUAGGGUAUCAUAGAGGGUGAGAAUCCCGUCUUUGACCUAGUGCAUGCUACUAUGUGAUACGUUUUCAAAGAGUCGAGUUGUUUGGGAAUGCAGCUCAAAAUGGGUGGUAAAUUUCAUCUAAAGCUAAAUAUUGGCGAGAGACCGAUAGCGAACAAGUACCGUGAGGGAAAGAUGAAAAGAACUUUGAAAAGAGAGUUAAACAGUGCGUGAAAUUGUUGAAAGGGAAACGUUUGACACCAGUCAUGUGGGUGGAAAAUCAGUCUUUUGCAUUGGGGAGUUGUAAGGGUUCGGACCGCAAGGCCGGCUUUUGCUUCAUCUUUGGUGUAAGUGAUGCACUUUUUCAUCUACAGGUCAACAUCAGUUUCUUUUGCUGGACAAAACUCCGAGAGAAGGUAGCAGCUUAGGCUGUGUUAUAGCUCUGGAGCGAUACAGUGAAGGGGACUGAGGUUUUCGCAGCGUGUGCUCUCGGGCAAGGCUGGAUGGGUGCUAUGGGAUCGUUCGGGGUACAAUGCCUGGCAUUUUGCUUCGUGUCUUUUCUAUACUCGCUCAACUCAGCUCUUCCACGCUUAGGAUGUUGACUUAAUGGUUUUAAACGACCCGUCUUGAAACACGGACCAA